GGGCCGAAAUGUCACAAGCGGCGCGUGUGGAACCGAAAACAAAACAAAAACAACACUCGGUUCUUCAUCGUCCCCCAAAAAAUGGGUCCAUUUGAGGGCCAUUUAUGGUUCUGUUUGCAGGUAAUCAAGGGAAAUAAGCUUGAAACGCACGUGUGGUAAACAAAUCCAGCCACAAGCGCAAAGUGUUUCGAAAGAAGAAGACGAACAAAAAAGGUGUGUCUGACGCUCCUCUGUCCCCAAGCGCGUGGUGUGUGAGUGUGUUGCAAAAUGAAAAAGCGUGUCGUAGGUAUUGGCCCCCGUAAAGUCGUAGGUAACACCUGUCGGAUGGGUACGAGCGCGGGUAAGGUGAUAAGGGAUCCCACAGCAAAGCUCCAACUUUGCUCCCGGCGGAAGGUGCGAGCGGCGGACUUGUUUACAUUUUCGCUAACGAACUGCAGCGCGUUAAUUUUUGCUCUUCGUGGCCCCCCACUUGACGCGGUGAGCUCCGCAGCGGCGUCCCUUCUACUUCACCGACACGUACAGCGAAUCUAUCCGCGAACCACAAACGGUGCGCCACAAGCACACACACACACAUUGUGUCUGUCACGCCGCAGAUUUGCAUUCGAGUAUUAAUUAUUUAUCGUAUUUAAUUACCGCCGGCCGGCCGGCCGCGGUUUGAAGGAGCCGCUUUUGAUGAGGCCCGGGUGUGUCCCGUACGUGACAUGUCGGCGACCAACAGCAAAAAAAAAAAAAGGACGGUUGACCACACACUCGUGAUGCAUUUCCGCCCGCCGGCGCACAAUCGGACCACAUUGUUUGCCGUGGAUGGUGGUGAGCGGGGUAGUGUGAGAAGGGGCAGUAGUAAUGCGCAGGGAGAAUUAUUAACACACAAGACGCAUUGAAGGUGCAUCAACUCAAGAAGGCACCAACGUCACAGCCUUAUUGUUGGCUUUCGUGUCGGCUAGGUGUGGCCAGUGGCUGUAGUAGACUGCGUGUGUGUGUGUGUGGAAUUCUUAAACGUGCACACCAUUCUUGCCACCCGAAGGGCACCGUCCACCCACCCGUAAGCUGGAUUGCAACCAAAAACGCUGAUACGCCCAACAAAGAAGCACAGAAGGGGCAACAUAAGGGCGCCGUAUUUUAAAUUAAUCUAUGCAAUCAAUGCUCCGGGGCACACCAUAAACCUUAAUGGGCGAAUCGAGAGCGAGAGAGCGAGAGAUGAUGUGACCACAGGGUCACAUCGGUAACACGUUACGGGUGUCCCGGCACAUGGCAGCAGCAGCAGCAGCAUCAUCACCAUCAUCAUCUUCCCCAUCAUUUCUCCCGGCAGUCUCUGUGUGUUAUGUAAAGUUUUAUUCGAAAUGGCCUAUAUGCAUCCACCCGUUCCGUCAUAAAUAAUGAUCAUUUGCUCUUUGUUUCGGGUUUUGUUUUGGAAUGGGUCGUAAAAAUAAAUUAUUAUUCACACGCACACACACACGCACACCGUGUGCGCAUCCAUAUUUUCCAUGCCCGGCAGAGGAAUCGUACAGUCGCACUUUCCAGCACGGGAGAAAUAGAUCUCUGGCCCAUUAUCCGUCAUCAUCGCACAUCGUAAAACCCCCCCUCGGAACGACAAACGAUGGCCCGAGAGAGAGAGAGAGAAAGGUGGUGUAUGGAAAUCCGGGGCGGGGGAGUCGAACACAUUUCAAGCCGGUCCCGCCCGGAAUUACCGUCUGUCCGAACCAAUAAUCAUAAAACACGUCCCAUUUCAGCAACAACGCACCAAACGGUUUAACAGACGUCCUCACGUGAAAGUCAUCCAGCGGGGCGGAUUUUGGGUCGAUUAAAAUAACGCACCUUUUGUGCAGGAGGAGGGCGAAUGAGCAGAUGCAAAAGAGAGCCCACCGAGAAGCAUCCAUCCCGGGCACGGGGACAAAGACCAAUGAGCCAUUUGAAGACAUCCUGCAGCCCGUUACCACGCCGUUUGAUAACGAUAACGCACCUCUUUCCCCGGGCAAUGCCGCAACAUACUGUGCUGAUUGUUAUUGGUCGCUUGGGAGGGAAGUGCUGGUCGCUGCUUCGAGAAAGCAAAUCGCCAGAUGAUAAUCAGGAAACAGGCCCGGAUAUAACCGGAUAUGGCCACCUAAAGUGGAGUCCAGCAAAGGAGUCGUGCGUGUUCUACCCGCGCGCCCUGUAAAAUCCGGAACUUCCGGGGUAAAUUGAGUUGAAGUGGUGGCCGCCACCGAGCUUGGCCAACUAAGUUGGCUGACGAAGCGGUUUCUAGUGGCUGGAGCUGGCGCGUAAUGGCCUUUAUCGUAAUGGCAUUAAAAUAAUGAAGGAGUAAACUGCAUAGCGCAGAAAAAAAAGUGCCCCGUCAGCCAGCCAGCCAGGCAGCACUCCUUGCCGGAAGAGUGGGCAACUGGAUAAGCGCACCUUUGCUUCAUUCCCGAAAACAGGAAAAGAACGAACCAAGCGGGAACCCGCUGUCAGUCAUCCUGUGUGAAUGUGUGUGUGUGUUGCUGCCAAUCAUAUUUAAAGGAUAACAAAAAGGGCGAGAGGACAAAAAACUUCCGUACAAGGAAGAGAAAUGUGGUAGUACCCAUUAAAUUAUUAAUCCAUUUCGUGUUGAUUGCACAAAAUGUUGAUUACACACACACACUUUAGUGAGGUGUUGUUGCGAACGGGAACGAGAAAAAGAAAAAAAGAAGGUUUGGCUUUUGAAGUUCUGGAUCCUGGUGCCCGGUCCGAUGAAGGUCCGAUAAGCAAAACACGGGAUAUCACACCCAGUAAAUGGGGUUAAUUUUUGAAGGGGACUUCCAAACCAAAGCACCGGAAAGGCGUGAAAAGUUUCGCAUUUUAAAAAUGGGAAAUGUAAUAAGGAAAGGAUUCUAGCUGUUCUAUUACAUUAAGCUAAUGAAUGAUGCUGCUUUGUACUUUGCAAUCAGUUAGCCGGGUUGGUGGUGGGGAUUGGUUCAUGCGGAUGUUGCGGAAAUGGGAUGCUAUUUUUAACCUAAUCUGUAUGAUCAUUUUUAAUGUAAAGUAUUUUUAGGGCAAUGAAUCGCUUAGUGGAACGCGAAAAGGAGUUUUUUUAUACCAUUUUGUCUUAUUAACAUUAAUUAUUUGGCAUUAUUAAUUAUUGUUAACAAGAGGAAGGAGCAGAAUUGUUAGGCUAUUAG
Long non-coding RNA from Anopheles merus, 3134 nucleotides. RefSeq lists it as uncharacterized. The record is from RefSeq and is a predicted model, not a curated record. The transcript has 3 exons. Lineage: Eukaryota; Metazoa; Arthropoda; Insecta; Diptera; Culicidae.